RNAcentral lists this small RNA (127 nucleotides) under Marmota monax (woodchuck). The record is from RNAcentral. Lineage: Eukaryota; Metazoa; Chordata; Mammalia; Rodentia; Sciuridae.
GCUGGAUGCAGUGGUGCACACCUGUAAUCCCAGUGACUUGGGAGGCUGAGGCAGGAGGAUUGCAAGUUUGAGGCUCACUUCAGCAAUUUAGUGAGGCCCUAAGCAGUUUAGCAAGACUCUGUCUCAA